GAGUUUGAUCAUGGCUCAGGAUGAACGCUGGCGGCGUGCUUAACACAUGCAAGUCGAACGAAGCAACUUAUUACGAUCCCUUCGGGGUGACGAUUUGUUGACUGAGUGGCGGACGGGUGAGUAACGCGUGGGUAACCUACCUUGUACAGGGGGAUAACAGUUGGAAACGACUGCUAAUACCGCAUAAGCGCACGGUAUCKCAUGAUACAGUGUGAAAAGUUUUUCGGUAUAAGAUGGACCCGCGUCUGAUUARCUAKYUGGUGAGGUAACGGCCCACCAAGGCGACGAUCAGUAGCCGACCUGACAGGGUGACCGGCCMMUUGKSACUGAWA
This 332-nucleotide ribosomal RNA is filed under the name uncultured Bacillota bacterium. Its description in RNAcentral is "uncultured Firmicutes bacterium partial 16S ribosomal RNA". Lineage: Bacteria; Bacillati; Bacillota. The record is from RNAcentral.